CGGUACAACCCCGGAGCCCCGCAAACACCUCCAGAGGCCGGGAACGGCCGGAUUAAGUCCGGAAAAAGACGCCAGAACCCGGACUACUAUACCAAACACCCCCAAAACCCGGACAAAGUUCCCAAACACCUCCAAAGGCCGGGAACGGCCGGAUCAACUUUAAAUUACCGCCGGGAACUCCCGCUCUCUGGAACUUCGUUUGGUUCAAGUCAUCCAUCCAGCACACCCACCAUUCCAGCACGAGUGUCCGAGAAUAGUACUUCAUCAUCGGACACGCGCCGGGAACUACCGCCGUAUGGAACUUUGUUCAGCUCAAGUCAUUCAUCCAGGACACAAAAUGUACAUUUACAUACAGAAAGACAGACUCACUGUCUUACGACCUCUCUUCCCUUUGCCUCGACGCAGCCUUGAAGCUGCCUGUUAGCCACAAAUCUGCGCCAGCUCCCUCGGCAACUGGAAACUGUGAACAAAGAUGGCGGACCAAACUCCGCUGACAGCCGUGUUUUGUAUGUACAUGUACAUUAUUCGGCGUUUUCUCGCUUAGAUUUUUCAAAAGUUACCGAGAAAUAGACACUGUACUAUCCGAUAACACCGUUAUUGUAACCAGUAAUAAUGGUUGAUAGCCUAUGAUUUGCGAGGCGAACACGUUUUCUAACACAGCCUGUAUGUAAUGUCAAUUUAGAUCAAAUGAGUUAAUACAACACUUUGGAAUUGAUACACAUAACUUGAAAGUCUACCAGAAGUUGAUCAAACUCAAAAUGACUGAGUCAUUAUGGCUGCAGUUCAAUUAUGAGUUCAUGUUAGUGUAUCACUCAAGUAGCUACAACUUUCUAUGCCAUUUAAGUUGGGUUAGCUUACCUCUUUUAUUAAGAUGAGCUGGUAGGUUUUACAGUCUAUAUGUAUUAUCCUUGUGUUAAAUAAAAAUAAAGUGUAGUGCUCUGAAUAACUUGAAAACUGAACAUUUAACGGGGGCACCUGCCCGAAUGGGCCGCAGGUGUUCCAGUGAUGGCCGUUAGUGAUGUGUCGUUCGUGAACGAUUCGUUCAUUUUGAGCGAAUCCUUACGAGGACUCGAGAGUAACGAGUCCUCUCAAAAAAAGAUUCGUUCAUUUUCUCGUGGCCACGCAUCGGGACUUGCAUCGGCUCAGCCAAGGAAACAGAACUGAUUCGUUGAACGCAGGUCACGUGGAAAAUGAUCCUUCUGCCAACCAAGUGGUACCAGUGCUGAGCAGGUCACGUGAGAAAUGAACGAUGAACGAUUCAUUGACCCGAAGGCUCGGUUGGCAGAUGAACGAAACAUUGACGAAACAUCUGCCGGAUACAGAUCUUUAAAUCAUUUUUCACGUGACCUGCAUAGGCUCAGCACUGAUCCACGCUAGCAUCGGGCUAACGUCCCCAUCCAUCCACGCUAGCAUCAGGCUAAUGAUCCCAUCCAUCCACGCUAGCAUCAGGCUAACGUCCCCGUCCAUCCACGCUAGCAUCAAGCGAACCCUUACAUACAACACAUAAUAACAACCUCGCUACCAGACUGUGGACUUCACCGCUUUGUUAUAAAGUCCGGCGGUACGAGCGCAGGCUGAACUUCAGGUGACCUGCGUAGGCUCAGCAGCACUGGUAGCGAUAAGCAGUCAGCGUUCUUUCUCUGCGCUAGCAGGUUGCCAUCGCCGUCUGAGCCGUCGUGUUUUCAAACGAAAAUACCAUCCAACCGUAUUGGUUUAAAGACGAUUUUUUUAGCUCAAGUCCAUCGUAUAUCUUCUUAUUUUCUUCUUUGACCAUCCAGCUUUUACACUGACGUUCUUUUUGUAAAAGAUGAGCUGUCUCGAUGGGUUUCUAGCCCGGCUAGCAUUCAGCUAACGAAUCAUUGAUCUACUCUCCGAGUAGAUCAAUGAUCUACUCUCCGAGUAGAUCAAUGAUUCGUCUUCGAUUUGGUCUUCGGAUACGGAUCAUUUUUUACGUGACCUGCGCUCAGAAGAGGAAACAGAAAGGAUUUGUUUACCUCGUUCACUUUCGCGUGGCUAGGUUUAGUAACACGUGAAUGAUAUUCCUUCAUAAGUAAUAAUUACAGGUUUCAUUAUUUUAACUUUUUCUUUCUUUAAAUACAUUGUAAUAAAUGUUGUCUCGUCUAAUCUGGUGUUUGAAAAUUAGAAAAUAUUUUUUGUUGAAUAUAGAAAAUGCAAAAUUGUAUAAACUUACUCACAGGUCUCUUGGGUGGACAUUUCAUUUUAUUUUCACUAAAUUAGACCAUAAUAUAUAAUUAUUAUCAUUCUCUUUGUUGCUUCAAGUGAAUUUGUUGUGCUUUUAGGAAGCUCGCUCUGUCUAAACACGUCUGUUUAUUAAUGUGUGGAACCUUCAACAUUUAAAACAUGUUAGUCAAUGAGGGCCGAUGAGCAUUAAAUAACUUACUGAUUCGCGGCGCAAACUCCCUGGAAGCGAAGGGCACCACCUGCCCGCUGUGCGAGGACCUCUCUGCCCCCGGGGGACAUCCACCCGGGGCGGCGGGACACUGCAUUCUAAAUGUGGCCGACAGAGGCGCGUCCUCCCGCGGGGCCGGAGUGGCACGCGUCGCCGCGGCGCGCGCGUCGGGCCGCCUCUCUCUGUCCCGGGGGUCAUCGGGGGCGAUCUUCAUCCGCCGCUGUACCGCCGUGAUGCGAGUCCGCUGCGUGACGAGGCCGCACUUCCAGCAUCCGCACGCGCGGAAGGGACACGACCCACUGUGGCCCUUGAGCGGCACGACGGUCCCGUGGUGGCGGCACCGGGUACAUUUGGGCACCCGCGGCGGACCGGGAGAAGGAGAAUGUCUGAUGUCUGUGGAUCAAGAUGAGGAUGAAGAUGUAGAGAUUGAAAAUCCACGCCUGGCCCGAUGAAGAGCACCCCACAAUGCACUCUGUGCUCGCCCAACCGUAACAUUUCUAAUGAUAUCAGUAUUUAAAGAAUUCUUCAGGUUAUUGUAGGGCAGUCUAAUUUCUAUGCCAUACAAUGUGACACAAACAAGCCCUUUAAAUUUACAUUUUUUGUGUGUAGAUUCUAUACAUACAGUGUUGGUGAUUCUUUGUUUAAUAUGUUCUAAUUGUUUUGGAUCCAUUUGUGGUUAAUGAUGUCAAAAUGAACACUUUCCAAAUGCCAUUGCUUGUUGGACUCAUUUGACUUAUUAUACACAAGAAAAAAACGUGAUGUUUCAGUACCUCGUAGCAUACUUCAGGUGUAUCUUAAGGUUACAGUUAAAUUAGCUCGUAUGUGCAUACAAGUAACUAAAUGUGUUCGCUU
This is a long non-coding RNA of Gasterosteus aculeatus aculeatus (three-spined stickleback), 3262 nucleotides long. The record is from Ensembl. NCBI's taxonomy places the organism in Eukaryota, Metazoa, Chordata, Actinopteri, Perciformes, Gasterosteidae.